UACGAAGGGUGCAAACGUUGCUCGGAAUUACUGGGCGUAAAGCGUGCGCAGGCGGCUUUGCAAGACAGAUGUGAAAUCCCCGGGCUUAACCUGGGAACUGCAUUUGUGACUGCAUGGCUAGAGUGCGGCAGAGGGGGAUGGAAUUCCGCGUGUAGCAGUGAAAUGCGUAGAUAUGCGGAGGAACACCGAUGGCGAAGGCAGCCCCCUGGGUUAACACUGACGCUCAUGCACGAAAGCGUGGGGAGCAAACAGG
RNAcentral lists this ribosomal RNA (253 nucleotides) under uncultured bacterium. RNAcentral's name for it is "partial 16S ribosomal RNA". It matches the Rfam family "Bacterial small subunit ribosomal RNA", at positions 524 to 776 of the family's 1533-position model. The record is from RNAcentral.